UCCUUUAGAGAGAGAGAGAGAGAUGGAACGAGAAGGAACCAAGCAAGUGCUUAAGAAAGGUCCAUGGAAUCCAGAAGAAGACAGACUUCUUAAGAAAUACAUAGAAACUCAUGGAGAGGGAAAGUGGGCAACUGUUUCCAAGAGAUCAGGCUUGAUGAGAGGAGGAAAGAGCUGCAGACUGAGAUGGAAAAACUAUCUCCGGCCAAACAUUAAACGUGGAGGGAUGACAGAGGAAGAAGAAGACCUUAUCAUUAGAAUGCAUAAUCUUCUUGGCAACCGGUGGUCGUUGAUUGCAGGUAGGCUCCCUGGUCGAACUGAUAAUGAAGUAAAGAAUUACUGGAACACCCAUCUGAUUAAAAAGUAUCCUCAAUGCAAAAAAGUGGUCUCCGACUCAAAGAGGAGGAAGCUCUCUCAUUCAACCAAUUCUCAACCCAUUUGCAGCUCAAGUCCUAACAGCUCCACCAUGAAACUAGACGAUCAAGGUGGCGACAAGGCAACUACCUCCUCCUCCAAUGGCGUCAACAGAAGUGCCGACAACGACGUAGAAUCUCAGCUCUCUGCCGGCCAGGAGACAGUUUACGAGGACGAUUUUCUGCUGCAACUAGAACCCAACAUUUUGUUUGAAUCUCAGUUCUAUUUUCCUGAGGAAUUCUAUCCAGUCCUACUGUAGUCAGUUUGUUCAGGGAGGUGACUCAUAAUCUUCUACUUAUAUGUAACAGUCACUUCAUUGUCCCCUCUGUUCAGUGAAAAUACAGAAAUAUCAACAUAGAGCCACAUGCAUAUGUACAACCAUGAAUCGGAGCUGCUUCUUCAUGGCAUUACUUCACUUUCAUCAGCUCCCAUUGGCAGGAGAACUAAUGGCACUGGCACAUCUAUAUCUCAUGAUACAGCUCUAUGGUACGUAUAGAACCGUACGUAUCUACCUAAAGCCAUGACCAAAUAUGGGUUGAUUCAUUCUGUUGUCUGACUCCAACCACUGAAGGAUUUCAAAAGCCUGAAUUAUUUUAAAGAACACUUGAACUGUGUACUUUCGGAGAUCCAACAGGUAGAGUGUAGAGAUGCCGGUGAGAAUUAGAACUUCUAUUCUUUCUGAGAAAUACCGAAUCUAGUAGUCUACUAUCGAGAAUGGGGUGAAGUUUUGUCUUGUGAUUUACGCUUGCAAAUUGUAGAUCAAUUACUUUGAAAUCCUAAUUCCAAGCUUUUUUCA
This is an RNA transcript of Nelumbo nucifera (sacred lotus), 1207 nucleotides long. It is a transcript of the gene named transcription factor MYB114-like, with no coding region annotated. NCBI's taxonomy places the organism in Eukaryota, Viridiplantae, Streptophyta, Magnoliopsida, Proteales, Nelumbonaceae. The record is from RefSeq and is a predicted model, not a curated record.